Molecule: ribosomal RNA, 494 nt
Filed under: uncultured bacterium
Lineage: Bacteria
Description: partial 16S ribosomal RNA
Rfam family: Bacterial small subunit ribosomal RNA
Source: RNAcentral
GACGAACGCUGGCGGCGCGCUUAACACAUGCAAGUCGAACGGAAAGGCCUGCUUUCCCUUGUGGAUUGCGGGUACUCGAGUGGCGAACGGGUGAGUAACACGUGAGUGAUCUGCCCCCAACUUGGGUAUAAGCCUGGGAAACUGGGUCUAAUUCCCGAUAGGACUGCAGGGUGGUGCCUGUGGUGGAAAACGAUUUUCUAGUGGUUGGGGAUGAGCUCGCGGCCUAUCAGCUUGUUGGUGGGGUAAUGGCCUACCAAGGCGGCGACGGGUAGCCGGCCUGGGAGAGUGGGCGGCCGCAUUGGGACUGAGAUACGGCCCAGACUCCUACGGGCGGAAGCAGUGGGGAAUAAUGCACGAUGGGCGGAAGCCUGAUGCAGCGACGCCGAGUGGGGAAUGACGGGCUUCGGGUUGUAACCUCCUUUCGACCGCGAGGAAGCCACCUGGUUGGAAGGGUGGUGACGGUAGUGGUAGAAGAAGCACCGGCUAACUACGUG